AUUCCAGCUCCAGUAGCGUAUAUUAAAGUUGUUGCAGUUAAAAAGCUCGUAGUUGGAUUUCUGGUACGGCGCGUUUGGCCGACACCCGUUAGGGUGUUCUGUGCCGUGCGCGCCUGCCAUCUUUCUAGAAAACCUCUCUACCCUUCACUGGGCCGGAUUGGCAGAUCUAGAACUUUUACUUUGAAAAAAUUAGAGUGUUUAAAGCAGGCUUGUGCUAUGAAUACAUUAGCAUGGAAUAAUAAUUUAGGACUUUGGUCCUAUUUUGUUGGUUUCUAGGACCGAAGUAAUGAUUGAUAGGGGUAGAUGGGGGUGCUAGUAUUCAGCGGCCAGAGGUGAAAUUCUUGGAUUCGCUGAAGACUAACUUAUGCGAAAGCAUUCACCAAGGAUGUCUUCAUUA
This 397-nucleotide ribosomal RNA is filed under the name Thaumatomonas sp. Its description in RNAcentral is "partial small subunit ribosomal RNA". It matches the Rfam family "Eukaryotic small subunit ribosomal RNA", at positions 582 to 975 of the family's 1831-position model. Lineage: Eukaryota; Cercozoa; Imbricatea; Thaumatomonadida; Thaumatomastigidae. The record is from RNAcentral.